CCUACGGGAGGCAGCAGUGGGGGAUAUUGCACAAUGGGGGGAACCCUGAUGCAGCGACGCCGCGUGGGUGAAGAAGCGCCUCGGCGCGUAAAGCCCUGUCAGCAGGGAAGAAAAUGACGGUACCGGAAGAAGAAGCCCCGGCUAACUACGUGCCAGCAGCCGCGGUAAUACGUAGGGGGCAAGUGGUAUGCGGAUUUACUGGGUGUAAAGGGGGCGCAGACGGCGAUGCAAGCCAGGAGUGAAAGCCCGGGGCCCAACCCCGGGACUGCUCUUGGAACUGCGUGGCUGGAGGGCGGGAGGGGCAGGCGGAAUGCGUGGUGUAGCGGUGAAAUGCGUAGAUAUCGGGAAGAACACCGAUGGCGAAGGCAGCCUGCUGGACUGCAACUGACGUUGAGGCCCGAAAGCGUGGGGAGCGAACAGGAUUAGAUACCCCUGUAGUC
RNAcentral lists this ribosomal RNA (440 nucleotides) under uncultured bacterium. RNAcentral describes it as "partial 16S ribosomal RNA". It matches the Rfam family "Bacterial small subunit ribosomal RNA", at positions 338 to 795 of the family's 1533-position model. The record is from RNAcentral.